AGAGUUUGAUCCUGGCUCAGGACGAACGCUGGCGGCGUGCUUAACACAUGCAAGUCGAGCGAUGAAGCUUCCUUCGGGAAGUGGAUUAGCGGCGGACGGGUGAGUAACACGUGGGUAACCUGCCUCAAAGUGGGGGAUAGCCUUCCGAAAGGAAGAUUAAUACCGCAUAAUAUAAGAGAAUCGCAUGAUUUUUUAUCAAAGAUUUAUUGCUUUGAGAUGGACCCGCGGCGCAUUAGCUAGUUGGUAAGGUAACGGCUUACCAAGGCAACGAUGCGUAGCCGACCUGAGAGGGUGAUCGGCCACAUUGGAACUGAGACACGGUCCAGACUCCUACGGGAGGCAGCAGUGGGGAAUAUUGCGCAAUGGGGGAAACCCUGACGCAGCAACGCCGCGUGGGUGAUGAAGGUCUUCGGAUUGUAAAGCCCUGUUUUCUAGGACGAUAAUGACGGUACUAGAGGAGGAAGCCACGGCUAACUACGUGCCAGCAGCCGCGGUAAUACGUAGGUGGCGAGCGUUGUCCGGAUUUACUGGGCGUAAAGGGUGCGUAGGCGGAUGUUUAAGUGGGAUGUGAAAUCCCCGGGCUUAACCUGGGGGCUGCAUUCCAAACUGGAUAUCUAGAGUGCAGGAGAGGAAAGCGGAAUUCCUAGUGUAGCGGUGAAAUGCGUAGAGAUUAGGAAGAACACCAGUGGCGAAGGCGGCUUUCUGGACUGUAACUGACGCUGAGGCACGAAAGCGUGGGUAGCAAACAGGAUUAGAUACCCUGGUAGUCCACGCCGUAAACGAUGGAUACUAGGUGUAGGGGGUAUCAACUCCUCCUGUGCCGCAGUUAACACAAUAAGUAUCCCGCCUGGGGAGUACGGUCGCAAGAUUAAAACUCAAAGGAAUUGACGGGGGCCCGCACAAGCAGCGGAGCAUGUGGUUUAAUUCGAAGCAACGCGAAGAACCUUACCUGGACUUGACAUCCCUUGCAUAGCCUAGAGAUAGGUGAAGCCCUUCGGGGCAAGGAGACAGGUGUGCAUGGUUGUCGUCAGCUCGUGUCGUGAGAUGUUAGGUUAAGUCCUGCAACGAGCGCAACCCUUGUUAUUAGUUGCUACCAUUAAGUUGAGCACUCUAAUGAGACUGCUGGGUAACCAGGAGGAAGGUGGGGAUGACGUCAAAUCAUCAUGCCCCUUAUGUCCAGGGCUACACACGUGCUACAAUGGUAGGUACAAUAAGAYGC
Molecule: ribosomal RNA, 1219 nt
Filed under: Clostridium botulinum
Lineage: Bacteria; Bacillati; Bacillota; Clostridia; Eubacteriales; Clostridiaceae
Description: bacterial SSU rRNA
Rfam family: Bacterial small subunit ribosomal RNA
Source: RNAcentral